Molecule: long non-coding RNA, 2444 nt
Filed under: Anas platyrhynchos platyrhynchos (common mallard)
Lineage: Eukaryota; Metazoa; Chordata; Aves; Anseriformes; Anatidae
Description: lncRNA (ENSAPLG00000031236.1)
Source: RNAcentral
UCAAAAACAACUGACCAGUUCUCAUGAUGUCCAUGAACUUUCAAUGAAAAUAUUUCCUAUUGUAAAAUGUUUGGUCAUAGUUAAUAUUAAAUGCUAUAGAUAAAUAAAUAAAAAAAAAAGAUUUAAAAAAAGGCAACAAAGCUCAACAAAGAUUUUGGUAGUUAUGAAACUGCAAUAUGGGGUGUGUGUGCCACAGAAGCAUCACUCUACCAAGAUAUUCAGAAUAUCUCACAGUUUUUUAGCAUAUCUGUUUCACAUAUACAGGUGUGCCAUUGAUAAGCAUGCAGUAAUGCACUGGUGCAAAACAGAAAAUACACUAAUUUUACAGGUAAAAGCAAUGAUUGGUUAGAAAAUAACCAAAUAAUUGCCAUCUAAUUUGGGCUUGCAAGCAUAAAAUGUGCAUAGCUUGAGUGCCUUUGUGUACUUGGCCUUUUCUAGCUGUUACAAAUGAUCUCUGGAUCCUUGCUACAGCAAAAGACAAGAUAGAGACAUUGUCUUCAGCUGUGUUUGAGGGUGUUCAUCUCUUAAAUUCGUCUUCUACUGUUGAAAUCACAACAGCAGUAAAUGUCUGCAGCUGAGACCUUGCAAUGCAUUUUCCUGAUUGAAUACUGUCAGCAGGGGGAGCGUCAACAGCACAGGAUAGUCUCCUACAGGAGUUACUGGGUCUUCUUGGGAGGAAAAGGGACAGACCUGCUGAAUCAGAAAGGCAGGAUUUUGGCCAAGUUUGUACUGAAUAUCAGGAUGUGGACAAAAGGAGAAGCUUUGGUCCUGCUUCUGCAUUGCAAAUUAAAGCAGGCACACUUGAAAGUGUAGGAUAUAAUUUGCUUGUAGAAGUAUAUGGAAUCAUGAAGACUUCACAAAAGUGGCUGUUUCAUACUUCCAGAAGUGUGCACUACUCUCUGAAAUGGCAUCCAUUGAACAAAACUUUCAAAACUUUAACAUACAGAUGCGUAUUCUGAGAUUUCCCCCCCCCAUAAUUUCCUCUAUUAUGGAUACAGAAAGAUCUGGGAGAAGAUGUCUCACCAUUUAAAAUAGAUCUAGGUAUAUGUUAAAACAAGUGAAACUAACCGCUUAUAUUUUGACAUACAUAAAAAUGUUUUCAUUGGGUCAAUAACUACUAUUUAUUUUCAAAAGGUGGUUCUCAAGUUUAAGGAAGCUACAGCAAAAUGAAAAUCCUAUUGAUCCAAUACAGUCAAAAAUGUUCUGAAGUUCCCCAGCAGGUUUGCUAACUGUAGGAACACUAUGUCUUGUUGAUUAAACAGAAUGACUUAUUCAAACUGGAAAAUCUUCGUGGGUCAGGUAAAUUUCUGGACUUAUUUUUGAAGAGAAAUAGAGAACAAACUGUGCUUUAAAACAAUAGUAGCCUGAAAAAUCAUAAUUUGUCAGUGUGUUAUCGCUAACGGAAUUGAUUGUAUUCUUAAAACAAAACAAAACAAAAACAACCAAACAAAACCACUAGAGUGAUGAUGAUGAUGAUGAUAAUGAUUUUUUAAUCUGGGAAAAUGUAUUGUUUCUGACAAAAUAUCCUUAAAUUAAAACAAAGUUUGAUGGUCUCCAUUUCAACUUGAUCACAAUAUUUUGUUGUUUUUAUGUCAAAAUAUUUUGUCAUAAAAUUAUAUAAUAUACUGUAAAUUACAAUACAAGUAAUAAGCUUUGACACAAUCUCUUUUGAUUUGACCUGAAACAGUUUUUCUGGGGACGGGAGAAAAAUGUGCACCACUCUGGAGAGUGAAUACAUGAUGGGCAACAUCGAAAUAUGCUCUUUAAAACCACAAACCUUUCAGCUGCUGGCAGUAGUUCACUCCUGAUAAAUACAAGAUGACUCCAUUGCACCGUGAGUGUAAUCAUGCUGUGAGACUGCAGAGCCAGCUUUGAAUUGCAGAACACUUGAAUUUGAGUGAGACAUUUGUUGAUGAGAUGUGAUGAGACAGAACUGUAUUAUUUUUCUUGCAAACCUUAUGUACCAUCUGAAAUCUGUAUCGUUAUUGCAAACUUACCUCAGGUUAAACCGCUCUCUACUUUCAUUGUAAAUUUACAUAUGAAGAUAACAGAAGUUGUAAGGAAGAGAAAGAAAAGGGAUUUCUGGUAAACUACAGACUUGAAGCAUUUUGUGCUGACUUCAGAACAAAAGUCCAAACUUCAGCAUCUUUCUAGACCGUUAAGCCUUUUGAACAUCUUUCAUCUUAAUUACCCAUCCAUCUCAGCAAUCAGCCUAUUGUUACUGAGGAAAUACCCCUUGAGAAGAAUAUUAGGAAAUCCAUUUCAGUGAUUAUUUUAUAAGGAAUAAUGACCACUUUGUUUCAUUAGUGGCUUUCUGGUUCUAAUCAGACAUUUAUUUUUCACAUUCACCAAACAAGGAUGUGCAGCAUAUGUUAAGGGAAAUGUGUGUGUACCAUAUGGCUGAGAAGAAUAAAUUCUGUAUAAAAUAGGAAGGGUGAAUGAGG